UUCGGAAUUACUGGGCGUAAAGGGCUCGUAGGUGGCCAACUAAGUCAGACGUGAAAUCCCUCGGCUUAACCGGGGAACUGCGUCUGAUACUGGAUGGCUUGAGUUCGGGAGAGGGAUGCGGAAUUCCAGGUGUAGCGGUGAAAUGCGUAGAUAUCUGGAGGAACACCGGUGGCGAAGGCGGCAUCCUGGACCGACACUGACACUGAGGAGCGAAAGCGUGGGGAGCGAACAGG
RNAcentral lists this ribosomal RNA (233 nucleotides) under uncultured bacterium. Its description in RNAcentral is "partial 16S ribosomal RNA". It matches the Rfam family "Bacterial small subunit ribosomal RNA", at positions 544 to 776 of the family's 1533-position model. The record is from RNAcentral.